UUUGGGUAGUGUGGGAGACUGGAGAAUAGAAAAGAUGGAGGCUGCAAAUGGGGAUAGAAUGAGGAGUCGCAUCUAGGCGGCAGUGAGGAACAGUGUCAGAGGACUGGUCUGUCAUAAUUCCAGCGUCCCACCCAUGUACAUGGGUUUCUUUUCCCCCACAGUAUUUGGAAGUGGGGUUGGUGGGUGACUCCAUGUAACUUUCAUACUCCAUCCCCCUGAAGUGGAAGGGGCAGGAAUACCACUGCUCCUCGGCCCAUCACUCCCCCAGAGGCAGGGUCGUGAACAUGUUCGUCAUUCUUGCUGCCCCUGCCUGUGCUCCCUUCCAUGACCGCUAGUGGGAGCCAAGGGAGAUAAGGCCCAGCCCUUAGGAGCUAGGGCUGAGAGGGGAGCCCACGCUCUCAUACCCAGCAAGCUGCAGAGUGAUCAGACAGCCCAUUCCCUAGGAUCGCAAGUCCUACAGCUGGAAACAGCGGCUCUUCAUCAUCAACUUCAUCUCCUUCUUCUCGGCACUGGCUGUCUACUUUCGGCACAACAUGUAUUGUGAGGCUGGAGUGUACACCAUCUUUGCCAUCCUGGAGUACACUGUUGUCUUAACCAACAUGGCGUUCCACAUGACGGCCUGGUGGGACUUCGGGAACAAGGAGCUGCUCAUAACCUCUCAGCCUGAGGAAAAGCGAUUCUGAACCCUUCAGUCCUGCUUGGGAGGAGGCAGCCCACUGCCCAGAAACAAGAAACAAGAUACCAUUCUGGCCUUCCCCACCCCACAUCCUCUCUUGGCCUUACUGAAGAUGGGGGAAGGGUAAGAAGGAAGGGUGUAGGCCAAGGCUCACCCCAGUGCUGCUGGGUUCUCCUCUCCACCCCUCAUAUGGGCGUGGGGUCCUCAAACAACAUCACCUUUACCUGAGAGGCCCCAAGAAGCUGAGCUGGCAGAGAGCUCCACCAUUUGGUGCUAAAAAAAAAGUCCUGAGGUUCAUGACCACCAUCCAGUUUCUGGCCUUUACAUAGUCACCUUUCACUGAAGUCAGAAGCCCCUGAGCAGUGACUGCUCCCUGACAACCACAGCCAUUUGUCUGCACGGGGUCAUUCAUAGGACUAAUGA
This 1099-nucleotide small RNA is filed under the name Pongo abelii (Sumatran orangutan). RNAcentral describes it as "retained intron". The record is from RNAcentral. Lineage: Eukaryota; Metazoa; Chordata; Mammalia; Primates; Hominidae.